Molecule: ribosomal RNA, 546 nt
Filed under: Panagrolaimidae sp. NK-2011a
Lineage: Eukaryota; Metazoa; Nematoda; Chromadorea; Rhabditida; Panagrolaimidae
Description: SSU rRNA
Rfam family: Eukaryotic small subunit ribosomal RNA
Source: RNAcentral
GAGGCUUCCCCGGGAAACGGAAAGUCUUUCGGUUCCGGGGGAAGUAUGGUUGCAAAGUUGAAACUUAAAGGAGUUGACGGAAGGUCACCACCAGAAGUGGAGCCUGCGGCUUAAUUUGACUCAACACGGGAAAACUCACCCGGUCUAGACACUGCGAGGAUUGACAGACUGAUAGCUUUUUCAUGAUUUGGUGGAUGGUGGUGCAUGGCCGUUCUUAGUUCGUGGAUUGAUUUGUCUGGUUAAUUCCGAUAACGAACGAGAUUGGAACUUAAUUAAAUAGAUUUGUCUUUCCAAUAUUAUGGAGGCAAUAAUCUUCUUAAUGGGAUUUGCGGCGAUCCAGUCGUAAGAAACCCAGCAAUAACAGGUCUGUGAUGCCCUAAGAUGUCUGGGGCUGCACGCGCGCUACAAUGAAAAUUGCAGCGCGUGUGACCAUUUCCGGAAGGAAUUGGUAAACGAGUCAAAUUAUUCCGUAUUUGGGAUCGAAUAUUGUAAUUAUUAUUCGUGAACGAGGAACUUCAAGUAAGUGUAAGUCAUCAGCUUACGCUG